UCAUAGGAUAUUUUAAAUAAAAUACUGACUUUGGGAGUCUUUGAUAAUAAUAGAUUUAUUUCUUUUGA
This 68-nucleotide transfer RNA is filed under the name Friesea propria. RNAcentral describes it as "tRNA-Pro". Lineage: Eukaryota; Metazoa; Arthropoda; Collembola; Poduromorpha; Neanuridae. The record is from RNAcentral.